GUUUGUGAAAGAUGAUCACAGAUUUACACAUCAGGAAUGUCUCUUGGAGCCAUUUCUGCAGGUUCCAAGACCAUCUGUUCAAAUAACUGCAUGCAUGUACAAGUUGUUGGUGCAGCCACUUUUCUAAGGUCUGAAAUAAGACCCAAGCUGUCACCCUCAGCUGAAAAGAAAUUGGUUUAGAUGGUCAAGAACCACCAAGGCACAGACCCGCCAUAAACUGCGAUCUCUUGG
Molecule: long non-coding RNA, 231 nt
Organism: Thalassophryne amazonica
Lineage: Eukaryota; Metazoa; Chordata; Actinopteri; Batrachoidiformes; Batrachoididae
Exons: 3
Source: RefSeq, a predicted model, not a curated record